GAGUUUGAUCAUGGCUCAGGACGAACGCUGGCGGCACGCCUAACACAUGCAAGUCGAACGGAGAUAUUUUGGUUUACUGAGAUAUCUUAGUGGCGGACGGGUGAGUAACACGUGAGCAACCUGCCUCUGAGAGAGGGAUAGCUUCUGGAAACGGAUGGUAAUACCUCAUAACAUAACGAAGCCGCAUGACUUUGUUAUCAAAGAUUUAUCACUCAGAGAUGGGCUCGCGUCUGAUUAGAUAGUUGGUGAGGUAACGGCUCACCAAGUCGACGAUCAGUAKCCGGACUGAGAGGUUGAACGGCCACAUUGGGACUGAGACACGGCCCAGACUCCUACGGGAGGCAGCAGUGGGGAAUAUUGCACAAUGGGGGAAACCCUGAUGCAKCGAUGCCSCGUGKAGGAAGAAGGUUUUCGGAUUGUWAACUCCUGUCUUAAAGGACGAUAAUGACGGUACUUUAGGAGGAWGCUCCGGCUAACUACGUGCCMKCAGCCGCGGU
RNAcentral lists this ribosomal RNA (497 nucleotides) under uncultured Bacillota bacterium. Its description in RNAcentral is "bacterial SSU rRNA". Lineage: Bacteria; Bacillati; Bacillota. The record is from RNAcentral.